This 497-nucleotide ribosomal RNA is filed under the name uncultured bacterium. RNAcentral's name for it is "partial 16S ribosomal RNA". It matches the Rfam family "Bacterial small subunit ribosomal RNA", at positions 28 to 507 of the family's 1533-position model. The record is from RNAcentral.
GACGAACGCUGGCGGCGUGCCUAAUACAUGCAAGUUGAGCGCUGAAGGUUGGUACUUGUACCCACUGGAUGAGCAGCGAACGGGUGAGUAACGCGUGGGGAAUCUGCCUUUGAGCGGGGGACAACAUUUGGAAACGAAUGCUAAUACCGCAUAAAAACUUUAAACACAAGUUUUAAGUUUGAAAGAUGCAAUUGCAUCACUCAAAGAUGAUCCCGCGUUGUAUUAGCUAGUUGGUGAGGUAAAGGCUCACCAAGGCGAUGAUACAUAGCCGACCUGAGAGGGUGAUCGGCCACAUUGGGACUGAGACACGGCCCAAACUCCUACGGGAGGCAGCAGUAGGGAAUCUUCGGCAAUGGACGAAAGUCUGACCGAGCAACGCCGCGUGAGUGAAGAAGGUUUUCGGAUCGUAAAACUCUGUUGGUAGAGAAGAACGUUGGUGAGAGUGGAAAGCUCAUAAAGUGACGGUAACUACCCAGAAAGGGACGGCUAACUACGUG